GCAAGUCGAACGAGUAAGGCCUACCUUGCUAGGAUUCUGUUAGUGGCGCACGGGUGAGUGACGCGUGGGAAUUUACCUAAUAAUAUGGAAUAACAUUCAUAAAUGAAUGCUAAUACCGUAUAAGCCCUGAGGGGGAAAGAUUUAUCGCUAUUACAUGAGCCCGCGUUGGAUUAGUUUGUUGGUAAGGUAACGGCUUACCAAGGCUACGAUCCAUAGCUGGUCUGAGAGGAUGAUCAGCCACACUGGGACUGACACACAGCCCACACUCCUACGGGAGGCAGCAGUGGGGAAUAUUGGACAAUGGGCGAAAGCCUGAUCCAGCAAUGCCACGUGAGUGAUGAAGGCCUUCGGGUUGCAAACGCUCUUUUAACAAGGAAGAUAAUGACGGUACUUGUACAAAAAGCACCGGCUAACUCCGUGCCACCAGCCGCGGUAAUACGGAGGGUGCUAGCGUUGUUCGUAAUUACUGGGCGUAAAGGGCGCGUAUGCGGUUAAUUAAGUUGGAAGUGAAAUCCCAGAGCUCAACUCUGGAACUGCUUUCAAAACUGGUUGGCUAGAGUUAGGUAGAGGAUAGUGGAAUUCCCAAUGUAGAGGUGAAAUUCGUAGAUAUUGGGAGGAACACCAGAGGCGAAGGCUACUAUCUGGACCUUACCUGACGCUGAGGCGCGAAAGUGUGGAGAGCAAACAGGAUUAUAUACCCUGGUAGUCCACACUGUAAACGAUGAGUGCUAGGUAUUGUAUUUUAAUUCAGUGCCGUAGCUAACGCGUUAAGCACUCCGGCUGGGGACUACGGUCGCAAGACU
RNAcentral lists this ribosomal RNA (803 nucleotides) under uncultured marine bacterium. RNAcentral describes it as "bacterial SSU rRNA". It matches the Rfam family "Bacterial small subunit ribosomal RNA", at positions 57 to 895 of the family's 1533-position model. The record is from RNAcentral.